UCAAGUAAUUAAGGGCGUAUGGGGGAUGUCUUGGCGUCGAAAGGCUUUGAUAGGCGUGGAAGUCUGCGAAAAGCCCGGGGGAAUUGACAAACGAGUGCUGAUCCCGGGAUUCCUGAGCUAACCUGGUGAACUGAAACAUCUAAGUAACCAGAGGAAGAGAAAGAAAAAUCGAUUCCGUAAGUAGCGGCGAGCGAAAGCGGAAUAGCCCAAACCGUGAAGAUUUUCUUCGCGGGGUUGUAGGGCUUCUCACAUGGGAGUUAGAAAACAUCUGUUAAUAGAAAAGUGUGGAAACGCUUACCACAGAGGGUGACAGUCCCGUACAUGAAAACAGCAUGUCUCCCGAGAAGUUCCUGAGUAGGUCGGGCCACGUGAAAUCCUGACUGAAUCUACGGGGACCAUCCCGUAAGGCUAAAUACUCUUCGACGACCAAUAGUGCAAAGUAGGGCGACCGAAAGAUGAGAAGAACCCCUUUUAGGGGAGGUAUGUGAACCUGAAACCAUACGCUUACAAGCGGUCGGAGCACUAUGAUUCGUUCAGUGUGACGGCGUGCCUUUUGCAUAAUGAUCCGGCGAGUUACCGUUUGCAGCUAGGUUAAGGCCUUACGGGCCGAAGCCAUAGGGAAACCGAGUCUUAAUAGGGCGAUUGUGUUGCGGGCGGUAGACGCGAAACUGCGUGAUCUACCCAUGAGCAGGUUGAAGCGCGAGUUAUAUCGCGUGGAGGACCGAACCCACUUGGGUUGAAAACCGAGGGGAUGACUUGUGGGGAGGAGUGAAAGUCUAAUCAAACGCAGAGAUAGCUCGUUCUCUCCGAAAUAUCUUUAGGGAUAGCCUCGAGCCACUAUGCACUGGGGGUAGAGAUACUGAAUUGGAUGGGGGCCCUUCCCGGGGUACCCCACCGAACCAAACUCCGAAUACCAGUGUAAUUAUCUCGGGAGUCAGUCCGCGAGGGAUAAGCUUCGCGGUCGAGAGGGAAACAACCCAGACCAUCUGCUAAGGUCCCGAAUUUAUACUUAGUCACUAAGGAAGUUGAUUUGCUAAGACAGCCAGGAUGUUGGCUUAGAAGCAGCCACCAUUUAAAAAGUGCGUAACAGCUUACUGGUCGAGCAGAUCUGCGCCGAUAAUGAACGGGAGUAAGUAUAAAACCGAAGCAGUGGAUUUAGUAAAUCUUCGGAUGAACUAAGUGGUAGGAGAGCGCUGUACGUCAGAUACAAGCCGUACCGGAAGGAACGGUGUCGGGGCGUACAGGUGAUUAUGCCGGAAUGAGUAACGAUAAAACAGGUGAGAAUCCUGUUCGCCGAAAGCCUAAGGUUUCCUGGGGAAGGUAAUUCCGCCCAGGGUUAGCCGGUUCCUUAGUCAAGGCCGAAAGGCGUAGACGAUGGAUAGCAGGUCAACAUUCCUGCGCCGCAACGUGGAGUGAUGGAGGGACGGCGUCCGGAAAGUGAGCGGUACGAUUAGAAAUGUCCGUGGAGUUCACUGAGACGAGGGAUAGGAAAAUCCGCCCUCAUCAAGUCAAGGUGUUCGACCGACUGCUCAUAUGUUCAGGAAGUCAUUGGAAGGACGUCCAAGAAAAGCUUCUAAACUUUGAAGCGUUUGCGACCGUACUAAAACUGACACAGGUAGGCGAGACGAGUAGUCUAAGGCGCUCGGGAGAACGGUGGUUAAGGAACUCUGCAAAAUGACCCCGUAAGUUCGCGAUAAGGGGUGCCUGCGAAAGCAGGCCACAGUAAAUCGGCUCUAGCGACUGUUUAUCAAAAACACAGGUCUCUGCUAACACGUAAGUGGAUGUAUAGAGACUGACGCCUGCCCGGUGCCGGUAGGUUAAGGAAGAGGGUUAGCCUUCGGGCGAAGCUCGCGACCGAAGCCCCGGUAAACGGCGGCCGUAACUAUGACGGUCCUAAGGUAGCGAAGUUCCUUGUCGGGUAAGUUCCGACCUGCAUGAAAGGCGUAACGACUGGAGCACUGUCUCAACCACCGACCCGGUGAAAUUGUAGUCGUGGUGAAGAUGCCACGUACCCGCGGUUAGACGGAAAGACCCCGUGAACCUUUACUGUAGGCUGAUAUUGGGCUGAGGUAUAUUUUGUGUAGGAUAGGUGGGAGACUUUGAAACGGGAGCGCCAGCUCUUGGUGAGUCGUCCUUGAAAUACCACCCUGGAUAUGCUUUAGUUCUAACCCUGAUCCUGUGAAACCAGGCAGGGAACAGUGUCAGUUGGGCAGUUUGACUGGGGCGGUCUCCUCCCAAAGAGUAACGGAGGAGUGCAAUGGUUCCCUCAGCCUGGUUGGUAAUCAGGCGAAGAGCGCAAAGGUAGAAGGGAGCUUAACUGCGAGACUUAUCAGUCGAGCAGAUACGAAAGUAGGUCUUAGUGAUCCUGUGGUUCCGAAUGGAAGGGCCAUAGCUCAUCAGAUAAAAGGUACUCCGGGGAUAACAGGCUUAUCGCUCCCGAGCGUCCAUAGCGGCGGAGCGGUUUGGCACCUCGAUGUCGGCUCAUCACAUCCUGGGGGUGAAGAAGCUCCCAAGGGUUUGGCUGUUCGCCAAUGAAAGUGGUACGUGAGCUGGGUUCAGACCGUCGUGAGACAGGUCGGUCCCUAUCUGCCGUGGGCGUACGAAACUUGAGGAGGUUCUUCUUUAGUACGAGAGGAUUUGGAAGGACGUAGCUCUGGUGUACCAGUUGUCACGCUAGUGGCACGGCUGGAUAGCUAACUACGGAAAGGAUAAACGCUGAAAGCAUCUAAGCGUGAAGCCUUCUCCAAGAUGAGGUUUCGUAGACUUUAUGUCGAAAUCCCCCUGGAAGACUACCAGGUUGAUAGGCCGGAUGUGUAAGCACAGUAAUGUGUUCAGCUAACCGGUACUAAAGGG
This 2853-nucleotide ribosomal RNA is filed under the name Lignipirellula cremea. RNAcentral's name for it is "Planctomycetes bacterium Pla85_3_4 23S ribosomal RNA". It matches the Rfam family "Bacterial large subunit ribosomal RNA". Lineage: Bacteria; Pseudomonadati; Planctomycetota; Planctomycetia; Pirellulales; Pirellulaceae. The record is from RNAcentral.